AUACGGAGGAUGCGAGCGUUAUCCGGAUUUAUUGGGUUUAAAGGGUGCGUAGGCGGCCUUGUAAGUCAGCGGUGAAAUUUUGCAGCUUAACUGUAAAAGUGCCGUUGAUACUGUGAGGCUAGGAUUUGGUUGCUGUGGGUGGAAUGUGUGGUGUAGCGGUGAAAUGCUUAGAGAUCACACAGAAUAUCGAUUGCGAAGGCAGCUCACAAAGCCAAGAUUGAGGCUGAGGCACGAAAGUGUGGGGAUCAAACAGGAUUAGAUACCCUGGUAGUCCACACUGUAAACGAUGAUAACUCGCUGUCGGCGAUAUACAGUCGGUGGCCAAGCGAAAGCGAUAAGUUAUCCACCUGGGGAGUACGACCGCAAGGUUGAAACUCAAAUGAAUUGACGGGG
This 393-nucleotide ribosomal RNA is filed under the name uncultured bacterium. RNAcentral describes it as "partial 16S ribosomal RNA". It matches the Rfam family "Bacterial small subunit ribosomal RNA", at positions 523 to 918 of the family's 1533-position model. The record is from RNAcentral.